Homarus americanus (American lobster) is the source of this 211-nucleotide long non-coding RNA. RefSeq lists it as uncharacterized. NCBI's taxonomy places the organism in Eukaryota, Metazoa, Arthropoda, Malacostraca, Decapoda, Nephropidae. The transcript has 3 exons. The record is from RefSeq and is a predicted model, not a curated record.
GUCGAUGUUGGAAAGGAGCCAAGUGUUGUAACCAGUCGCCGUGUGCAGCAUGUGCUAAAAGGAGUUGUUGCAGUCCAGAAGACGUGAUUGGUGUGUGAUAAUCCAGAGGGACAUUAACGCUCGACUGAAUGUUGGAAAUGAGAGGCAGUAAAGGUGUUUGAGGAUGGAGUGGUGGUGGGUAGUGCCGUAACCAGGUUGGACUACUACAUGU